ACUGGAGAGAAGAGAAGGUAGCCAAUAGUGUAAGUGUUACAGAGAGAUCAAGAAAAAUUCAGAGAAAAAGCCCAUCAGAUUUAGCAUUGAAGAGAUGAUUACUAGUUUUGGAGAAGGCAAUUUCAAUUUCAACAAGUGAUGAGGAUAUAACCAGUCUAUAUACCAGUGAUGGCGACCCUUUUGGAGGUGGAGGGCCAGGACCCUCCCCAUCCCCAGACUGAGACAAAGAAGGGAAGAAGCACUCCUAUUGGGCUCCUGGGCAGAGGGACGGGGGACUCCAUGGCUGACUCUUGCUGACCAUAUUUGUGAAGAUCAAAUGAAAGCAUAUUUAUCAAGAACUUAGAACAGAGCCUGGCAUACAAUUGACAUUUAAAAUACUUGUUACCUUUCUUCUCUCCUUCUGUACUUUCCAUUUUGUCCACCUAAACCAAAUGAAGCCUGUAUAUUUCAUCUGAGUCCUAUAGCAGUUGAAGUCUGGUUAAUUCAAGAUGUCUUCUCAGUUCAUUCUUUCCCUUGUGAAUAUACUCCAUGGCUAAGACUCUCUGUGAAGAUGCAAUGAGGAAGAGAGAAAGAACAUAAAUGUUGGCUGAAAUAAUGAAAAGAAUUCUUUGAAAAUCUUACAGACUCAAGAGAAUUAACUACAAUACUGCAAGGGUAAGGGCCUUACCCAGAGUCAGUCAGUCAAUAAAUCUUAAACACCUACUGUGUGCUAGAUACUAUGCUAAACACAGGAGAUACAAAGGGGGAAGGCAGUCCCAGAGAUUAAGGAGCUCCCAGUCUAAUGGAGGAUAUGAUAUGCAAAAACUAUCUACAAUCAAUAUUCAAGGUAAAUAGGAAACAAUUAACAAAGGGAAGAAACUUAAGAAGGGUUGU
Molecule: long non-coding RNA, 873 nt
Organism: Monodelphis domestica (gray short-tailed opossum)
Lineage: Eukaryota; Metazoa; Chordata; Mammalia; Didelphimorphia; Didelphidae
Source: RefSeq, a predicted model, not a curated record